AUCAGCUUUCAUCGUGGAGGAGGCGUGGGUGGACCGAGGUACCACAAGUUGCCAGGAAUGCCUGACCAGAAACUGCUCUUGGAUGCUGGCCUGGGUGCUGGAAUAUGGAAAUGAGGAAGAUCCUGCCUGAGGAUUUCAUGACAGUGCUGCGAUUACCGACGUGAGCCACUGUGCCCAGCCUCACUUUAAAAAAAAAAAAAGGUUAUGAAGCAUCUCAACACAAGACCUCCUUUGCUCAUCACAACCACCCAGUGAAGCAGGCAAGACAACAGAAACUCCCCACCUGUGAUAGAUGUGAGGCCUGAAGUCUCCCACAUACCCACGGCAGAUGCAACGCACAGCGGUGACCAAUGGUGAAGGAUCUAAAACCUGAAAAGAGGCCAAAUGAUUCCUCAAAACCACGCAAGUACGAAGUAGCAGAGCGGAUCUCAAAUCCAGACACAGAGGGAUUGAAAUGCAUAACAAUAGAGAUGAAACACGAAGAGUGAUAAAUGAAGAUUGAGUGUGCACACCUUCUGGAGGAGCCCUGAUUGAGUAUUUUAAAAUACUACUAAAGUCAUGCCGUGUGACUUCUGAAGCUAGCUCCUAAGAAGUCCUUGCAGCUUCUGCCUGCGACUCUUAGAACACUUGCUUUGAAGGAUGCCAGAUGCUGUCUUAAAAGUCUGAGCACUCUGAAACCAUCAUGCUGUGAGGAAGCCCAAGCUAACCACAUGGGCAAAAAAGAUGCCCUCUGACUGCCACCAUUUGAGACACUCUAAUUAAGAACUGCCUCAUUGAGCCCAUGAGGCCCUGUGAAUGAUAAUAAUAAAUUGUUUUUAACCACUAUGUUUUUGGAUUUGUUAUAAGUUUAUAGAUAACAAGAAAAAGUUAUAUUAGCAUGGUAAUAAAAUUAUGGAUAUGUGUAA
This 905-nucleotide long non-coding RNA is filed under the name Homo sapiens (human). RNAcentral's name for it is "long intergenic non-protein coding RNA 964". The record is from RNAcentral. Lineage: Eukaryota; Metazoa; Chordata; Mammalia; Primates; Hominidae.